Oncorhynchus kisutch (coho salmon) is the source of this 1319-nucleotide long non-coding RNA. RefSeq lists it as uncharacterized. The record is from RefSeq and is a predicted model, not a curated record. NCBI's taxonomy places the organism in Eukaryota, Metazoa, Chordata, Actinopteri, Salmoniformes, Salmonidae. The transcript is spliced from 3 exons.
UGGGGGGUUGAGUAAUAUGUUGAUGCUCGAGUGCCAAAUCAACACAAAGGGCCAGGAAAAGGUCUAAGCCAUCAGGUUCCCAGUUUAGGAAAAAGAGGAAAGAAGAAGAAGAGGAGAAACAAGCUAAAUAUAAAGGGGCACUUCUGAAAUAUUUUGGAGCACCCUCAGCCACACAGGCCUCUUCAGAAAUGAUCUCGGAGCCUCAGGAAGAGGAGCCAUCCACCUCCUCAGCCACACAGGUGUCUUCACAAACGUUGUCUGAGCCUGAGGAUGAGGAUGAAGACCCAUUUGCUUCCACUUCUCCCCAGCAGGAUUCUUCAGAUUGCACCUCGGAUGUCAGCCACACUGAAGAUUUGUCAGUUGUUAUUAGGAUUGUGUCACUGAAGGACGAGCCCCACAUAAAGGAACAUUUUAUGGGGUUUCUGGAGGCAGAGGAGACCACGGGUCAACAUUUGGCAUCCCUGAUUCUCAAAAGAUUAGAGGAGCUAAAAAUUCAUUUUGAGGACUGCAGAGGACAGUCUUAGGAUAGUGGGGCCAACAUGAGAGGCAAAAACAAAGGUGUCCAAGCCAGACUCCAGGAAAUGAAUCCAAGAGCUCUAUUUGUGCCAUGUGGGGCUCACACAUUGAACCUGGUUGUGGCUGAUGCUGCUAAAAGUUUGCCGAUGCCACAGAUUACUUUGGUAUCUUACACAAACUGUACACCUUGUUCUCAGCCUCCACACAGCAAUGGGCCAUCCUGAAAAAACAUGUGGACAUCACUUUGACGAUGUGGACUGAAACAAGGUGAGAGAGGAAAGUUGAGUGUCGAGCCACUGAGGUAUCAGGCAGCAGCGGUGAGAGAGGCACUGAUUGAGGUGAGGUAUCAAACCAAAGACCCUGUGAUAAAGAUUGAGGCCCAGUCCUUGUCAGAGGAGGUGGGAUCAUACCGCUUCAGCAUCUGUGCAGUGGUGUGGUAUGACAUCUUUUUUGUUGUUGUUGAAAACUCUGUUUAUUCAGUUUUACACACAGGACAACACAAGACAAUAUAAAUAAUAUACUCAACUAGAAAAAGAUACAAAUAAAAAAGAAUAGCUUUAAAGAUACCGUACUUUGGACAAGUUAAACACACCGGGCAGAAGGCUACCAAGGUUAAAGGGCAAUCUGUAGGGACAGAGCAGACACCUCACCAUUGUUCCUGUAAACAGACAAGGGAUAGGGGUGGAGAAAUGCAACCACUCACAGACAGUCGUGGCCACAGAUGUCACCUGCUGACCAUAGAGAGCCUUUGUUUUUCUAUUGUAUAGUAGGUCAGGGUGUGACUUGGGGGUAUUCUAGUUAUU